ACUGGCGGCCAUGGAACUCACCGGUAAUAGAGGACACAUCUCUUAACUGGGUUGCGCUAAGAACUGAUGUCUAAACCUUCUCAGCAUGGCCCGUAGAGGAGGAGCUGGGGAUGGCCAUCGUGCCUCAGCUACACUGUCUCGGGUUAGCCCUGGAAGUCUUUACACAUGUAGAACCCAUACCCAUAAUAUAUGCAUGGUAUCUGACUUUUUCUACCCAAAUAUGGGAGGCGUGGAAAGCCACAUUUACCAGCUCUCUCAGUGCCUGAUUGAAAGAGGGCACAAAGUUAUAAUUGUCACCCAUGCUUAUGGAAAUCGAAAAGGCAUCCGUUACCUCACCAAUGGCCUCAAAGUCUAUUACUUGCCUCUGAAAGUCAUGUACAACCAGUCUACAGCCACGACCCUCUUUCACAGUCUGCCACUGCUCAGGUACAUAUUUGUUCGGGAGAGAGUCACGAUAAUCCAUUCACAUAGUUCUUUUUCUGCUAUGGCCCAUGAUGCUCUCUUCCACGCCAAGACAAUGGGGCUUCAGACAGUCUUCACGGACCAUUCCCUUUUUGGAUUUGCUGAUGUCAGCUCGGUGCUUACAAACAAGCUUCUAACCGUGUCUCUUUGUGAUACAAACCACAUCAUUUGUGUGUCUUAUACUAGUAAGGAAAAUACUGUACUAAGAGCAGCACUGAAUCCUGAAAUAGUGUCCGUCAUUCCUAAUGCUGUAGAUCCUACUGACUUCACUCCAGACCCAUUUAGAAGGCAUGAUAGUAUAACUAUUGUUGUUGUCAGCAGACUUGUUUACAGAAAAGGGAUCGAUUUGCUUAGUGGUAUAAUACCUGAACUCUGUCAGAAAUAUCCAGAUUUAAAUUUCAUAAUUGGAGGAGAGGGACCAAAGAGAAUCGUUUUGGAAGAAGUUCGGGAAAGAUACCAGCUGCAUGACAGGGUGCGUCUUUUGGGAGCUUUAGAACACAAGGAUGUUAGAAAUGUCUUAGUUCAAGGACAUAUUUUUCUGAAUACCUCCCUUACUGAAGCAUUCUGCAUGGCGAUCGUGGAAGCAGCCAGUUGUGGUUUACAGGUAAAAAGCUUUGAGGACAUUCAUGGUUGGGAUUUCUGUGUAUUUGGAAAAAUAAUGAGACACAUUCCAUAAUAAUGUUUUAACUGGUUUUAUUGAUCUUCCUGAGGUAUGAUUAUGGUGGAGUAUGUGUUCUUUCUUUCUUUUUAAGGUUGUAAGUACCAGAGUUGGUGGAAUUCCUGAGGUGCUUCCAGAAAACCUUAUUAUUUUAUGUGAGCCUUCAGUAAAAUCUUUGUGUGAAGGAUUGGAAAGGGCUAUUUUCCAACUGAAGUCAGGGACAUUGCCGGCUCCAGAAAACAUCCAUAACAUAGUAAAGACUUUCUACACCUGGAGGAAUGUUGCGGAAAGAACUGAAAAGGUAUAUGACCGGGUAUCAGUGGAAGCUGUGUUGCCAAUGGACAAACGACUGGACAGACUUAUUUCUCACUGUGGCCCAGUAACAGGCUACAUCUUUGCUUUGUUGGCAGUUUUCAACUUCCUCUUCCUCAUUUUCUUGAGAUGGAUGACUCCAGAUUCUAUCAUUGAUGUUGCAGUAGAUGCCACUGGGCCACGGAGUGCCUGGACUAAUAACUGUUCUCACAGUAAAAGAGGGAGUGAGAAUAAUGAGAUAUCUGAAACCAGGUAGAAGAAAGCCUAGACUGUAAGAUUUUAAACAUUUGUAAUAGUUCUAUAAAGACUCUGGAAAAUAACCUUGCUUUUGGGGGUUUUUGUUUUUUUAGAGUUAAUUUAGUAAGUUAUGCUACCUCUAUAUCAUUCAAUAUUUUCUGUUGAGGAAAGAUAAAAAUUUAUGCAAUUCCUGAGUGUAGAAACUUCUUGCACUUAUUUAAAAUUUAGGAGAGAACAUUUAAGCCACUCAGGUAUGAAAUUUUUCAGACUACUGAAAUCCCUGUAGCAGAGAUGUUUUAACAUUAUAUUUUGAGAGCUUUGGGUGCUGAAGGGCCAAACGUUUUCUGGGCAUUUUUUGGCCAGUUUUUAAUGUUACACCAUUAGACACUCACCAGAUGUUUACAAGUUUUCUUUAGGGAACUACAACAAUUAUAUGAACUGUUUUAUAUCAUGUUCAUAUACAUUUAUUAGGAAUCUAAAUUGUGUCUUUAAACAUUUAUUAGGUUCACUCAGUAGGUGUUACAUAUAAUUAACAGGUUCCUUGAGUAAGAUAGUCCAUCAGUUAUGAGCACAUUUUGAACCCCUGCUCUGUGUAGAAUGUUGAACUAGAUGCUUCCUGCCAUUAAGGAGCAGGGGUGCAUUCACUCUUUGUUUACCAUUCAAAUGGCUUACUUCAUUGUGAUCGUGGUUGAUACGAGAUCAAUAUCCAACAUGCCAAAAAUGCUCAUGCCAGUUAAUGCCAGGAAAAAAGUCACCGACACACUACUAGUACUUUGUUCCUGUUGUAUGCAUUCUCCUAGGUAGAGCCUUCAUCUUCAGUUGUGUUUAUGAAGAUAUUUUUUGCUUUUUAAAUACUGGGGACCGAUAUCACUGUUGAUAGUGCAGAGAAACCCUCCACAUUUUUCAGUGCAUAAUUGAGUUUUCUAUAAAUGCCUUCGUGUUUUCUGAGCAGAAUGUACGAGGUGUGCCAUCCCAAAACCAGCUGCUACCCUGUCCUUUUAAUGUAAGUCAGUCCCCUUCACUGUGGCCUCGCUGAUGUCUGAUAAGUAUUGUCAGUGUGCAAAAGGCUUUACUUCAGAAUGUUUUAUUUAUAGCAAACUAAGUUGAAAAUUUUAGGAACAGUCUUUGUGGGUGGAUGUCAUUAACUGUAAUUGUUGUUGCCCAGAGCCAUGGGUUUUUUAACCCCAAAUUAUCCACAUGGUGUGUAUUAUGAAUUCUUUGAACUCUUACGGUUUUUGUGAGAAAAGGACUGUGAAUUCAAAACAAUGAGGCACUUGUGGGUGCACUACAUAGAUUCUGACAGUGUUGUGAUUCUGUAUAGGAUUUUUAAAAAUGACAACAUUCACAAAAUUUAUUACUUUUUAAAAAAUAACAUGCCUAUUAACUGGUUGCACUGAUAUAAAAGAAAUAUAUUUGUGUUUUGUUUGUACUAAAAUGCAAAAGCAAGAGUGCAAUUUUUAAAAUCUAGAAGUUAGGGGUUUUGUUGGAGAAAAAUGGACUGAUCUUUAAACUAUUCAGUCUUAUUGGGAUUUUUAUGCAUAGAAACUCACAUAUAAACAUGAAAUAAACAGUGCCAAUAUUCAUAGUAAAGUGAGAAACUAUAAUAUUUGGCCAUUAUUCUAUUCAACAGGUUUUAGAGGCACGCCACCAUUUUUUCCUUAUAUUUUUGCUUAAUUUUUUAAAAUUGUCAUUUAAUUCUUAAAUUCUCAUUUAUUUGAGAUGGAAAUAAGAUCUAAAGUUAGUUGCCUUUGCCUGUAAAACAUGUGAUUUGCAAAUUAUUAUUUUUCUUUUUUUUUUUAACAAAUGGAAGUAAAUUUGUUUCACUAAAUCUUAAUUUUCAACCUUUCUGGAUACCUUAAUUGUAACUGUCAGUGUUGCACUGGUCGGUAUGUGGAAACACAUUGCUCUACCCUGCUACUUACGUUGAUUUUAAAGUGAAUUUACAGUGAUGAAGAAUUUGUGAAAAAUAUAUUUCUUUUGAUGUUUCAAAAGGUUGCCUAUGAAAAACUGAUUUGUUAAAACAUGCUACGUGUCCAAAAAUAAAGACCAGAAUGACAUUUUGAUAA
RNAcentral lists this small RNA (3735 nucleotides) under Pongo abelii (Sumatran orangutan). Its description in RNAcentral is "retained intron". The record is from RNAcentral. Lineage: Eukaryota; Metazoa; Chordata; Mammalia; Primates; Hominidae.